Aethina tumida (small hive beetle) is the source of this 298-nucleotide long non-coding RNA. RefSeq lists it as uncharacterized. The record is from RefSeq and is a predicted model, not a curated record. The transcript is spliced from 3 exons. Lineage: Eukaryota; Metazoa; Arthropoda; Insecta; Coleoptera; Nitidulidae.
AGAUAUUGCUGAAUUUCAACACUUAGAAACAAACAUGAUUGAAGCAAAUGAAAAAUCUCUUGGAAAAUCGGAUGAUGUUGUUGCAGUUAUUUUCAACGACCAACUGCCAAAACAACGAGCAAAUGAUGUUAACAACCUAACCUGUUCUUGGGCCCAAUGUAUUGUAAGAUGUGCUCCACAAAUUGGAUUGUGUGUUAGGGGAGCGUGCAUCUGCAAAUAAUCUAAUCAACAGGAAACCUGCCAAGGGAAGCCAUGUGCCAGUCAAUUUUAUUGUCAACUCUGUUGUGAAGGAUCAGCA